UUGCCUCAGUAACGGCGAGUGAAGCGGCAACAGCUCAAAUUUGAAAUCUGGCCUUCGGGUCCGAGUUGUAAUUUGUAGAGGGAGUUUCGGAUGCGGCGCCGGGCUAAGUUCCUUGGAACAGGGCGUCAUAGAGGGUGAGAAUCCCGUACGUGGCCGGCGAUCAACUCCAUGUGAAACCCCUUCGACGAGUCGAGUUGUUUGGGAAUGCAGCUCAAAAUGGGUGGUAAAUUUCAUCUAAAGCUAAAUACCGGCCAGAGACCGAUAGCGCACAAGUAGAGUGAUCGAAAGAUGAAAAGCACUUUGGAAAGAGAGUUAAAAAGUACGUGAAAUUGUUGAAAGGGAAGCGCUUGCAACCAGACUUGCUCGCGGGCAUCAGCCUCCCUUCGGGGUGGUGUACUUGCCCGUGAUCAGGCCAGCAUCGGUUCUGGCGGUUGGAUAAAGGCCCUGGGAAUGUAGCUCCCCUCGGGGAGUGUUAUAGCCCAGGGUGCAAUGCGGCCAGCCUGGACCGAGGACCGCGCUUCGGCUAGGAUGCUGGCGUAAUGGUUGUCAGCGACCCGUCUUGAAACACGGACCAAGGAGUCUAACAUCUAUGCGAGUGUUUGGGUGUCAAACCCAUGCGCGGAAUGAAAGUGAACGGAGGUGGGAACCCCUUCCAGGGUGCACCAUCGACCGAUCCUGAUGUCUUCGGAUGGAUUUGAGUAGGAGCAUAGCUGUUGGGACCCGAAAGAUGGUGAACUAUGCCUGAAUAGGGUGAAGCCAGAGGAAACUCUGGUGGAGGCUCGCAGCGGUUCUGACGUGCAAAUCGAUCGUCAAAUUUGGGUAUAGGGGCGAAAGACUAAUCGAACCAUCAGCUACAUAGAUGGGUGGUUANUUGGGUGCGGCUUCNACUGCACACUCAGCUUAUAGACUAANAAGCCACACUGUC
Molecule: ribosomal RNA, 925 nt
Filed under: Aspilidea sp. TW-2021a
Lineage: Eukaryota; Fungi; Ascomycota; Lecanoromycetes; Thelenellaceae
Description: partial large subunit ribosomal RNA
Rfam family: Eukaryotic large subunit ribosomal RNA
Source: RNAcentral